UACGGAGGGUGCAAGCGUUGCUCGGAAUCACUGGGCGUAAAGCGCCCGCAGGCGGCCUGACAAGUCGGAUGUGAAAGCCCUGGGCUCAACUCAGGAAUUGCAUUCGAAACUGGCAGGCUCGAGUACGGAAGAGGCGAGUGGAAUUCCUGGUGUAGCGGUGAAAUGCGCAGAUAUCAGGAGGAACACCGGUGGCGAAGGCGGGUCUCUGGGCAACAACUGACGCUGAGGAGCGAAAGCGUGGGGAGCGAACAGG
This 253-nucleotide ribosomal RNA is filed under the name uncultured bacterium. RNAcentral describes it as "partial 16S ribosomal RNA". It matches the Rfam family "Bacterial small subunit ribosomal RNA", at positions 524 to 776 of the family's 1533-position model. The record is from RNAcentral.